GGAGGGUUCGCAUAGAGGUCUAGUGCACCGCACUUGAAAUGCGGCAAGCCAGAAAUGGUUUCGGAGGUUCGAAUCCUCCACCCUCCG
Molecule: transfer RNA, 87 nt
Filed under: bacterium
Lineage: Bacteria
Description: tRNA-Ser
Rfam family: tRNA
About the family: Transfer RNA (tRNA) molecules are approximately 80 nucleotides in length.
Source: RNAcentral